This 433-nucleotide ribosomal RNA is filed under the name uncultured bacterium. RNAcentral's name for it is "partial 16S ribosomal RNA". It matches the Rfam family "Bacterial small subunit ribosomal RNA", at positions 29 to 507 of the family's 1533-position model. The record is from RNAcentral.
AACGAACGCUGGCGGCAUGCCUAAUACAUGCCAGUCGAACGAGAUCUUCGGAUCUAGUGGCGCACGGGUGCGUAACGCGUGGGAAUCUGCCCUUGGGUUCGGAAUAACUUCUGGAAACGGAGGCUAAUACCGGAUGAUGACGUAAGUCCAAAGAUUUAUCGCCCAAGGAUGAGCCCGCGUAGGAUUAGGUAGUUGGUGAGGUAAAGGCUCACCAAGCCGACGAUCCUUAGCUGGUCUGAGAGGAUGAUCAGCCACACUGGGACUGAGACACGGCCCAGACUCCUACGGGAGGCAGCAGUAGGGAAUAUUGGACAAUGGGCGAAAGCCUGAUCCAGCAAUGCCGCGUGAGUGAUGAAGGCCUUAGGGUUGUAAAGCUCUUUUACCCGGGAUGAUAAUGACAGUACCGGGAGAAUAAGCGCCGGCUAACUCCGUG